GCUAGGGCUAUGGCUCAGUGGUAGAGUUCUUACCCAGUAUGGAUGAUGCCCUGGGUUUGAUCCCCAGCCCUGCA
RNAcentral lists this transfer RNA (74 nucleotides) under Marmota monax (woodchuck). RNAcentral's name for it is "tRNA.Thr". The record is from RNAcentral. Lineage: Eukaryota; Metazoa; Chordata; Mammalia; Rodentia; Sciuridae.